UUGUUUAAUAUCUUUUAAUAAUAUAAAAUUAAACAAAAAGAGCUAAGAUACAAAAAAUAUUAUAAAAUAUUUAUUAUUCAUAAACAUUAAUUAUCAUAUAUACGUUAAUCAUAUAAGGCAAUUCCGUAGCUUUUAUUUAAGUAAAGUGCAAGAUUAUUCUUUUGUACACUAUUCAUCAAUUUAAUAGUUAGUUUAAUAAAAUGACAUUUUGCAAAUAUGACUCAAAACUUGAAGUCAAACACAAAACUAACCAAUUUUUUUUGAAACUUUGACUUGUCUCUUUCAAUCCCAAAGUUCAGAUUAUUCACGGAAAUGCCAUCACUUUUUUUUUAUUCUGAAAAUGCAUAUUUUACUCUAUCACCCUCAUCUUCCUCAAGAAUUCACAAUAUUGCCAUUGCC
Molecule: long non-coding RNA, 399 nt
Filed under: Brassica napus (rape)
Lineage: Eukaryota; Viridiplantae; Streptophyta; Magnoliopsida; Brassicales; Brassicaceae
Description: long non-coding RNA (BNAP_LNC004126)
Source: RNAcentral